AGCUCCAAUAGCGUAUAUUAAAGUUGUUGCGGUUAAAAAGCUCGUAGUUGGAUCUCGGCGGGUAGGGCGUGGUGCAUUAUUUGAUGUCACUGCUCCAUUUACCCGUGUUUUUGGCGGAGGUGGCGGGGUGCUCUUAACCAAGUGUCCCGUCGCGCCGCCAGGUUUACUUUGAAAAAAUUAGAGUGCUCAAAGCAGGCUUUGCAAGCUUGAAUAGUCGUGCAUGGAAUAAUAGAAUAGGACGUCGUUUCUAUUUUGUUGGUUUUCGGAAAUCGACGUAAUGAUUAGUAGGGACAGUCGGGGGCAUUAGUAUUCAGACGACAGAGGUGAAAUUCUUGGACCGUCUGAAGACUAACUACUGCGAAAGCAUUUGCCAAGAAUGUUUUCA
Molecule: ribosomal RNA, 385 nt
Filed under: uncultured eukaryote
Lineage: Eukaryota
Description: SSU rRNA
Rfam family: Eukaryotic small subunit ribosomal RNA
Source: RNAcentral